RNAcentral lists this ribosomal RNA (253 nucleotides) under uncultured bacterium. Its description in RNAcentral is "partial 16S ribosomal RNA". It matches the Rfam family "Bacterial small subunit ribosomal RNA", at positions 524 to 776 of the family's 1533-position model. The record is from RNAcentral.
UACGGAGGGAGCUAGCGUUAUUCGGAAUUACUGGGCGUAAAGCGCACGUAGGCGGCCUUGCAAGUUAGAGGUGAAAGCCUGGAGCUCAACUCCAGAACUGCCUUUAAAACUGCAUCGCUUGAAUCCAGGAGAGGUGAGUGGAAUUCCGAGUGUAGAGGUGAAAUUCGUAGAUAUUCGGAAGAACACCAGUGGCGAAGGCGGCUCACUGGACUGGUAUUGACGCUGAGGCGCGAAAGCGUGGGGAGCAAACAGG